CCUAACGCCACAAAAUCUCCGCUGUCAUUAUAGCUACCGUUAUAAUGUUGCCACCCGAGUCACCCGCUAGUCCUAACUCAAACGUGUCAUAACUCGGUAUCUCUUCCUCGAGCCCUAACAUUUCGCCGAAACCUGCAGCGCUAGAUGCGCUCGUUUCAGCAGCCAAAUCUACUUCCCCGUUCUUUUCCUCGCUGGAAAACGUCGGCGGCAAGCCAAGCUCAUCGUCCGAGGCUUCCAGAAGGUAGCCGAGAUCCGGCUGGCACUCACCUCCGCCAGCCGCUACAUACGCCAUAACCGGACC
RNAcentral lists this unclassified non-coding RNA (301 nucleotides) under Hevea brasiliensis (rubber tree). Lineage: Eukaryota; Viridiplantae; Streptophyta; Magnoliopsida; Malpighiales; Euphorbiaceae. The record is from RNAcentral.